Molecule: ribosomal RNA, 774 nt
Filed under: uncultured Neocallimastigales
Lineage: Eukaryota; Fungi; Neocallimastigomycota; Neocallimastigomycetes; Neocallimastigales
Description: partial large subunit ribosomal RNA
Rfam family: Eukaryotic large subunit ribosomal RNA
Source: RNAcentral
UAUGUGAUCGUCUCUCGCAUAUCAAUAAGCGGAGGAAAAGAAACUAACAAGGAUUCCCCUAGUAACGGCGAGUGAAGCGGGAAGAGCUCAAAUUUGAAAUCUUAAAGGGUUUCCCUUUACGAAUUGUAGUUUAAAGAAGUGUUUUCUGUUGAGGUUUUGGUAAAAGUUCUUUGGAAUAGGACAUCAUAGAGGGUGAGAAUCCCGUAUUUGACCUUUACUUUCAACUUUGUGAUACACUUUCAAAGAGUCGGAUUGUUUGGGAAUGCAGUCCAAAAUGGGUGGUAAAUUUCAUCUAAAGCUAAAUAUUGGCGAGAGACCGAUAGCGAACAAGUACCGUGAGGGAAAGAUGAAAAGAACUUUGAAAAGAGAGUUAAACAGUACAUGAAAUUGUCAAAAGGGAAGCGUUUGACACCAGUGUUGUUUUUCUGAAAAUCAAUUAAAGAACUGUUUAUGCUAAGCUGUUUAGACUUUAUCAGCUAUCUGUUUAGUUUUGAGCUUUUCUUUAAUGCACUUUUCAGUUAACAAGUCAACAUCAAUUUCUUUUGCUGUAAAAAAGCUUGAGGAAGGUGGCUUGAGAUUCGUCUUAAGUGUUUAUAGCCUCUUGCCUAUGCAGUCGGAGAGAUUGAGGUCUGCAGCGUAGAUCCUUCGGGGCUAAAUGCAUUUGUGCUAAGUUAUAGCAUUUUAUAGACAACUUGUUGACUAUGAUUUGUCUUGUAGCUUACUCGCUUAUGUUAUUUUACCUACGCUUAGGAUGUUGAGCGCAUGUCUCUCUCU